RNAcentral lists this ribosomal RNA (1439 nucleotides) under Lactiplantibacillus plantarum. Its description in RNAcentral is "bacterial SSU rRNA". It matches the Rfam family "Bacterial small subunit ribosomal RNA". Lineage: Bacteria; Bacillati; Bacillota; Bacilli; Lactobacillales; Lactobacillaceae. The record is from RNAcentral.
UGCAAGUCGAACGAACUCUGGUAUUGAUUGGUGCUUGCAUCAUGAUUUACAUUUGAGUGAGUGGCGAACUGGUGAGUAACACGUGGGAAACCUGCCCAGAAGCGGGGGAUAACACCUGGAAACAGAUGCUAAUACCGCAUAACAACUUGGACCGCAUGGUCCGAGUUUGAAAGAUGGCUUCGGCUAUCACUUUUGGAUGGUCCCGCGGCGUAUUAGCUAGAUGGUGGGGUAAUGGCUCACCAUGGCAAUGAUACGUAGCCGACCUGAGAGGGUAAUCGGCCACAUUGGGACUGAGACACGGCCCAAACUCCUACGGGAGGCAGCAGUAGGGAAUCUUCCACAAUGGACGAAAGUCUGAUGGAGCAACGCCGCGUGAGUGAAGAAGGGUUUCGGCUCGUAAAACUCUGUUGUUAAAGAAGAACAUAUCUGAGAGUAACUGUUCAGGUAUUGACGGUAUUUAACCAGAAAGCCACGGCUAACUACGUGCCAGCAGCCGCGGUAAUACGUAGGUGGCAAGCGUUGUCCGGAUUUAUUGGGCGUAAAGCGAGCGCAGGCGGUUUUUUAAGUCUGAUGUGAAAGCCUUCGGCUCAACCGAAGAAGUGCAUCGGAAACUGGGAAACUUGAGUGCAGAAGAGGACAGUGGAACUCCAUGUGUAGCGGUGAAAUGCGUAGAUAUAUGGAAGAACACCAGUGGCGAAGGCGGCUGUCUGGUCUGUAACUGACGCUGAGGCUCGAAAGUAUGGGUAGCAAACAGGAUUAGAUACCCUGGUAGUCCAUACCGUAAACGAUGAAUGCUAAGUGUUGGAGGGUUUCCGCCCUUCAGUGCUGCAGCUAACGCAUUAAGCAUUCCGCCUGGGGAGUACGGCCGCAAGGCUGAAACUCAAAGGAAUUGACGGGGGCCCGCACAAGCGGUGGAGCAUGUGGUUUAAUUCGAAGCUACGCGAAGAACCUUACCAGGUCUUGACAUACUAUGCAAAUCUAAGAGAUUAGACGUUCCCUUCGGGGACAUGGAUACAGGUGGUGCAUGGUUGUCGUCAGCUCGUGUCGUGAGAUGUUGGGUUAAGUCCCGCAACGAGCGCAACCCUUAUUAUCAGUUGCCAGCAUUAAGUUGGGCACUCUGGUGAGACUGCCGGUGACAAACCGGAGGAAGGUGGGGAUGACGUCAAAUCAUCAUGCCCCUUAUGACCUGGGCUACACACGUGCUACAAUGGAUGGUACAACGAGUUGCGAACUCGCGAGAGUAAGCUAAUCUCUUAAAGCCAUUCUCAGUUCGGAUUGUAGGCUGCAACUCGCCUACAUGAAGUCGGAAUCGCUAGUAAUCGCGGAUCAGCAUGCCGCGGUGAAUACGUUCCCGGGCCUUGUACACACCGCCCGUCACACCAUGAGAGUUUGUAACACCCAAAGUCGGUGGGGUAACCUUUUAGGAACCAGCCGCCUAA